This 911-nucleotide ribosomal RNA is filed under the name Peziza natrophila. Its description in RNAcentral is "eukaryotic LSU rRNA". It matches the Rfam family "Eukaryotic large subunit ribosomal RNA", at positions 27 to 947 of the family's 3401-position model. Lineage: Eukaryota; Fungi; Ascomycota; Pezizomycetes; Pezizales; Pezizaceae. The record is from RNAcentral.
GCUGAACUUAAGCAUAUCAAUAAGCGGAGGAAAAGAAACCAACAGGGAUUGCCUUAGUAACGGCGAGUGAAGCGGCAAAAGCUCAGAUUUGAAAUCUGGUAUCAUUUUUUGGUGCCCGAGUUGUAAUCUGUAGAGGAGUAUUCGGUUUUGGUCAUGGCUUAAGUUCCUUGGAACAGGACGUCAUGGUGGGUGAGAACCCCGUUUGCGGCCUUUGUCUUCAAAAUCAUGUGAAUCUCCUUCAACGAGUCGAGUUGUUUGGGAAUGCAGCUCUAAAUGGGUGGUAAAUUCCAUCUAAGGCUAAAUAUCUGCAAGAGACCGAUAGCGCACAAGUAGAGUGAUCGAAAGAUGAAAAGAACUCUGAACAGAGAGUUAAAUAGUACGUGAAAUUGUUGAAAGGGAAGCACUUGCUACCAGACGCACUUGCAAUUGAUCAGGCUUGCAUUUUGUAAGCUGCACUCAGUUGUAGGUGGGUCAGCAUCAGUUAUGGCGGUGGGAUAAAGCCUGGAGGAAUGUGGCUCUCUUCGGGGAGUGUUAUAGCCUCUGGUGUAAUACUGCCUGCUAUGACUGAGGAUCGCGCCUUCGGGCGAGGAUGCUGGCAUAAUGGUCGUAAGUGACCCGUCUUGAAACACGGACCAAGGAGUCUAACAUCUAUGCGAGUAUUUGGGCUUUAUAAACCCUUAUGCGAAAUGAAAGUGAAUGGAGGUGGGAACCGCAAGGUGCACCAUCGACCGAUCCUGAUGUCUUCGGAUGGAUUUGAGUAUGAGCAUAGCUGUUGGGACCCGAAAGAUGGUGAACUAUACUUGAAUAGGGUGAAGCCAGAGGAAACUCUGGUGGAGGCUCGCAGCGGUUCUGACGUGCAAAUCGAUCGUCAAAUUUGGGUAUAGGGGCGAAAGACUAAUCGAACCAUCUAG